GCUGUCGCCCUCCUCGCACUCGCGGGCGCCGCGAGGGCCCGGGACGGGGUGCACCACUGAGUGGCGGGGCCUGGUUCCGGGAGAGCACAGAGUGCGACACCUGGGGCGGAGAGCGUGCAGGCCGAGCGGACCCGGGCUGGGGGAGGAGGGGGCCGGACACCGGACCACAGCCCGGCCGGGAAGUGCACUCAGUGGACACCGCUGGCGCCGGAGACGCCUGGAGAGGGGCCUGCCACGGAGGCUCGCGGCUGUAGGGUGCUUGCUUUGUGCUCCCCCAAGGACUGUGCCUUCCCACAGUAGGUCCUUCUAGAGGGGGAGUCUUGGGGCGCCCCAGAGCAGCCAGGCAGGAUGCUAAGUGCUAUCCCUCGGCCCCAACGCCCAAAAGCUUCCGAAGCAUAUCUGGCAGUGACAGCCACUAUAGAUGACUAAAGAAACGCCCAAAGUCUUGGCCACCAGUGACUUCAUCACAAGGCAGCAGUUCACAGCAGUGCUUGCCCAUAACCCUCCUCUUCUCACUGAAGACAGCAAGUUGUACUGGGAAGGUCAGAGUCUCCUGGAGGAAGCAUGGAGGGCUGAGGAGGAGGCAGAGCCCCCUCUCCUUAGGACACCACACCAUCACAGCUGACUGGCGACAGACAUCCAUAGAGACCAGCUGACCUUCUGGCUCCUCAGCGCCUGAAUUUAGAAGCAGAGGGGCCACUGUGAAGAUGGCCCUCAGUCGUGGACACUGAGCGACCGCCACAGGAGAAAGAAGCGUUCUCUGUAACGGGCAUGAAAGCUCAUUCCGGCGUCCGUGUGGAACGUGAGGUGGGAUCCCACAAAGGAUGACCACCAUGCCACCCCCAAGCGAGAACACGAACUUGCAGGUUGGGAAUUUCGUUCCCCUGUACCAUUUGGAGGUUCCACUGAGAUCACUGGAUGGAGUUGAGAGUUUACUUUUGUUUGAUAGACUCUGGACUGGGACUCGUUUAGACUUAAAACUGUGCACAUACCCAAGAUGAAAAUGCCUGGUGUCAAUCAAGGACCUCUAGACAGGAUCUCUUUGGAAGUACCUCUGACUGCCGUUCAAACACUGCAUUCCUGUUCAGCCUGAAGCAGCUAGAUCAGUCUUCUGCCCAUUUCCCCUCAUGGCAGUUCGGGUUACUUCUUCAGAGGGGAGAUUGUUGCAGGCAGCUGAGUUAGUUAGAAAUAGUAUAGGCAGUCAGACAGGUAUAGCCCUCAAGGAAGCUGGCAUAGAAGACCAGAUGUCUGAUGAUCUUGCAGGGGACACACACCUCUUGCUGUUGGCCAAAUCUCAAGACAGAAGGCAAAACAAAUGCAACCACACUCUUAAGUAUAAUCCUUAGGGAUUAAAUCUGGAUCACCUUGAGGAGCCAAGAGUCACCAUCCCAAUCCCCUAUAGGAGGAGUCACUGAUCUCUAAGAAUGCCCUUGUUCUAUGUGAUUUGCUUUCCCACUUGUCCCCAAUUUAAUCAAUUUUACCUAACCUAUUGAUCUUAUUGGAUAAAAGUCUGUGGAAAAGACAGAUAUUGGGCAACCCUCUCGGGACCCCUUCUGUCUCUCUUCAGACAGAAGCUUUCUUUUCCUCAAUAAAUAUAUUCUACUUUUAA
Molecule: long non-coding RNA, 1609 nt
Organism: Cavia porcellus (domestic guinea pig)
Lineage: Eukaryota; Metazoa; Chordata; Mammalia; Rodentia; Caviidae
Exons: 4
Source: RefSeq, a predicted model, not a curated record